RNAcentral lists this ribosomal RNA (425 nucleotides) under uncultured bacterium. RNAcentral's name for it is "partial 16S ribosomal RNA". It matches the Rfam family "Bacterial small subunit ribosomal RNA", at positions 354 to 796 of the family's 1533-position model. The record is from RNAcentral.
GUGGGGAAUCUUGCGCAAUGGGCGAAAGCCUGACGCAGCCAUGCCGCGUGGAUGAUGAAGGUCUUAGGAUUGUAAAAUCCUUUCACCGGUGAAGAUAAUGACUGUAGCCGGAGAAGAAGCCCCGGCUAACUUCGUGCCAGCAGCCGCGGUAAUACGAAGGGGGCUAGCGUUGCUCGGAUUUACUGGGCGUAAAGGGCGCGUAGGCGGACAUUUAAGUCAGGGGUGAAAUCCCGGGGCUCAACCUCGGAACUGCCUUUGAUACUGGGUGUCUUGAGGAUGAGAGAGGUGUGUGGAACUCCGAGUGUAGAGGUGAAAUUCGUAGAUAUUCGGAAGAACACCAGUGGCGAAGGCGACACACUGGCUCAUUACUGACGCUGAGGCGCGAAAGCGUGGGGAGCAAACAGGAUUAGAAACCCGUGUAGUCC